Molecule: ribosomal RNA, 468 nt
Filed under: uncultured bacterium
Lineage: Bacteria
Description: partial 16S ribosomal RNA
Rfam family: Bacterial small subunit ribosomal RNA
Source: RNAcentral
GACGAACGCUGGCGGCGUGCUUAACACAUGCAAGUCGAACGGAAAGGCCCUGCUUUUGUGGGGUGCUCGAGUGGCGAACGGGUGAGUAACACGUGAGUAACCUGCCCUUGACUUUGGGAUAACUUCAGGAAACUGGGGCUAAUACCGGAUAGGAGCUCCUGCUGCAUGGUGGGGGUUGGAAAGUUUCGGCGGUUGGGGAUGGACUCGCGGCUUAUCAGCUUGUUGGUGGGGUAGUGGCUUACCAAGGCUUUGACGGGUAGCCGGCCUGAGAGGGUGACCGGCCCCAUUGGGACUGAGAUACGGCCCAGACUCCUACGGGAGGCAGCAGUGGGGAAUAUUGCACAAUGGGCGGAAGCCGGAUGCAGCAACGCCGCGUGCGGGAUGACGGCCUUCGGGUUGUAAACCGCUUUCGCCUGUGACGAAGCGUGAGUGACGGUAAUGGGUAAAGAAGCACCGGCUAACUACGUG